UCACUGUGAUGAUGGAUUCCAAAACCAUUUGUAGUUUCCACCAGAAAUUUUGUGUUGGCCAAUUCCUUCCUUGGAUGUCUGAGUGA
Small nucleolar RNA from Chinchilla lanigera (long-tailed chinchilla), 86 nucleotides. Its record names the gene SNORD14. It matches the Rfam family "Small nucleolar RNA SNORD14". Rfam says of the family: U14 small nucleolar RNA (U14 snoRNA) is required for early cleavages of eukaryotic precursor rRNAs. In yeasts, this molecule possess a stem-loop region (known as the Y-domain) which is essential for function. Lineage: Eukaryota; Metazoa; Chordata; Mammalia; Rodentia; Chinchillidae. The record is from Ensembl.